UUCCUCCUUGUCAUGGGGAGCAUAAUAUCCAAUGAACGUAUAGUGAGGAUAUUGAUGCUGGCACCCAUUUGAUGCGUUUCGUCUUUGACGGAAUCAAAACACCCCCGCUCGGGGUAGCCGCUUUCGAACAGUGCGCUGCCUGGGCGGAAUUUUUGGAACG
This is a small nuclear RNA of Ochlerotatus camptorhynchus, 160 nucleotides long. RefSeq annotates it as U4atac minor spliceosomal RNA. Lineage: Eukaryota; Metazoa; Arthropoda; Insecta; Diptera; Culicidae. The transcript has a single exon. The record is from RefSeq and is a predicted model, not a curated record.